GGACCAUAUUCAUCGGCGCAACGCUUGAGCAAGAUUUGGAUGCACGUUCGCACCGAUGAUUAAUUUAAUGAAAAGAAAUUAAAAUCUUGAUUACCUUGAAAUACAAAAGCUGAGCUUGGUGGCUGGAUGACGUCCUCUUCUUCGGAUACUCGCAAAAGAAAUUUAACAGAGUAGUUAACAGCUCGACAGCAACCAUAAUAAUUAAGUUAUGUUAUACAUUAGGGUGG
Rhagoletis pomonella (apple maggot) is the source of this 227-nucleotide long non-coding RNA. RefSeq lists it as uncharacterized. Lineage: Eukaryota; Metazoa; Arthropoda; Insecta; Diptera; Tephritidae. The transcript has 3 exons. The record is from RefSeq and is a predicted model, not a curated record.